GAGGGUAUAGCUCAGUGGUAGAGUAUGUGCUUAGCAUGCACAAGGUCCUGGGUUCAAUUCCCAGUACCAUUA
Molecule: transfer RNA, 72 nt
Filed under: Camelus bactrianus (Bactrian camel)
Lineage: Eukaryota; Metazoa; Chordata; Mammalia; Artiodactyla; Camelidae
Also listed under: 2 other names
Rfam family: tRNA
About the family: Transfer RNA (tRNA) molecules are approximately 80 nucleotides in length. Their secondary structure includes four short double-helical elements and three loops (D, anti-codon, and T loops).
Source: Rfam by way of RNAcentral